RNAcentral lists this ribosomal RNA (301 nucleotides) under uncultured bacterium. RNAcentral describes it as "partial 16S ribosomal RNA". It matches the Rfam family "Bacterial small subunit ribosomal RNA", at positions 509 to 809 of the family's 1533-position model. The record is from RNAcentral.
CAGUCGCCACGGUAAUACGUAUGUCACAAGCGUUAUCCGGAUUUAUUGGGCGUAAAGCGCGUCUAGGUGGUUAUGUAAGCCUGAUGUGAAAAUGCAGAGCUCAACUCUGUAUUGCGUUGGAAACUGUGUAACUAGAGUACUGGAGAGGUAAGCGGAACUACAAGUGUAGAGGUGAAAUUCGUAGAUAUUUGUAGGAAUGCCGAUGGGGAAGCCAGCUUACUGGACAGAUACUGACGCUGAAGCGCGAAAGCGUGGGUAGCAAACAGGAUUAGAUACCCCUGUGUCCCUGUCUCUUAUACAC